UGAUGGCUGUUCUUCUCACUGCCUGGAGCCUUAGGUAGUGGGAUUUUAAUACAUCAUAUAUCUAAACUGACUUGUCUUCACUCAGGGCACUAUAGGGAUGAGUUGGUUAUGGGGUAGCACCUACUGAUUUUUGCAGAGUCAAAACAACU
This 149-nucleotide small nucleolar RNA is filed under the name Cervus hanglu yarkandensis (Yarkand deer). RNAcentral describes it as "Small nucleolar RNA SNORA79 (ENSCHYG00000018807.1)". It matches the Rfam family "Small nucleolar RNA SNORA79". From Rfam's summary of the family: ACA65 (SNORA79) is a member of the H/ACA class of snoRNAs that guide the sites of modification of uridines to pseudouridines. This snoRNA was identified by computational screening and its expression in mouse experimentally verified by Northern blot and primer extension analysis. The record is from Rfam by way of RNAcentral. Lineage: Eukaryota; Metazoa; Chordata; Mammalia; Artiodactyla; Cervidae.